This 60-nucleotide microRNA precursor is filed under the name Sarcophilus harrisii (Tasmanian devil). RNAcentral's name for it is "Sha-Mir-12475-P16_pre stem-loop". The record is from RNAcentral. Lineage: Eukaryota; Metazoa; Chordata; Mammalia; Dasyuromorphia; Dasyuridae.
UAAACACUCUGAAGCCACAUUGUUUGUAUAUUUUUUGAACAAUGUGUCUCAGAGUUUAGU